UCGAACGGAAAGGCCUGCAGCUUGCUGCGGGUACUCGAGUGGCGAACGGGUGAGUAACACGUGGGUGAUCUGCCUUGCACUUCGGGAUAAGCUUGGGAAACUGGGUCUAAUACCGGAUAGGACAGCUGUUUAGUGUCAGUUGUGGAAAGUUUUUUCGGUGCAAGAUGAGCUCGCGGCCUAUCAGCUUGUUGGUGGGGUAAUGGCCUACCAAGGCGUCGACGGGUAGCCGGCCUGAGAGGGUGUACGGCCACAUUGGGACUGAGAUACGGCCCAGACUCCUACGGGAGGCAGCAGUGGGGAAUAUUGCACAAUGGGCGGAAGCCUGAUGCAGCGACGCCGCGUGGGGGAUGAAGGCCUUCGGGUUGUAAACUCCUUUCGACAGGGACGAAGCGUAAGUGACGGUACCUGUAUAAGAAGCACCGGCUAACUACGUGCCAGCAGCCGCGGUAAUACGUAGGGUGCGAGCGUUGUCCGGAAUUACUGGGCGUAAAGAGCUCGUAGGUGGUUUGUCGCGUCGUCUGUGAAAUUCCGGGGCUUAACUCCGGGCGUGCAGGCGAUACGGGCUGACUUGAGUGCUGUAGGGGAGACUGGAAUUCCUGGUGUAGCGGUGAAAUGCGCAGAUAUCAGGAGGAACACCGAUGGCGAAGGCAGGUCUCUGGGCAGUAACUGACGCUGAGGAGCGAAAGCAUGGGUAGCGAACAGGAUUAGAUACCCUGGUAGUCCAUGCCGUAAACGGUGGGCGCUAGGUGUAGGGGGCUUCCACGUCUUCUGUGCCGUAGCUAACGCAUUAAGCGCCCCGCCUGGGGAGUACGCCGCAAGGCUGA
This 824-nucleotide ribosomal RNA is filed under the name uncultured Actinomycetes bacterium. RNAcentral describes it as "bacterial SSU rRNA". It matches the Rfam family "Bacterial small subunit ribosomal RNA", at positions 62 to 897 of the family's 1533-position model. The record is from RNAcentral. Lineage: Bacteria; Bacillati; Actinomycetota; Actinomycetes.